Molecule: non-coding RNA, 322 nt
Organism: Phascolarctos cinereus (koala)
Lineage: Eukaryota; Metazoa; Chordata; Mammalia; Diprotodontia; Phascolarctidae
Source: RefSeq, a predicted model, not a curated record
UCACUGUCGACUCCACUCCGUUAGCCGGGGACGCCCAAACACUGCAGAGCCUCCCAAACACUGAGCCACCUCUGGCAAUGUGUACAUCAAUCUCACUAUCAACUUGAACAUCCCUGGAAAGUACACUACCAAGGUCACUAAUUCGCAGAAGAGGGAUGAGAAAUGAACUACCAGUGCCUUUGGAAGACAGUGUCACCGAUUCCACAGGCUGCUUACAUCCCCUUAGUUCAGAGAUAAGACGAAAGAAGAAGAGAAUGGGGAACAACAUGGAAAUUAUGAAAUGAGGAGAAGAGAGGAGGGCACUCCCUCUGGGUGGCCACAA